Niastella koreensis GR20-10 is the source of this 95-nucleotide non-coding RNA. The record is from Rfam. NCBI's taxonomy places the organism in Bacteria, Pseudomonadati, Bacteroidota, Chitinophagia, Chitinophagales, Chitinophagaceae.
ACCCAGCUUUAGGGGUGUCCAUACAUCGGACUGAGAUAAUACCCUUUGAACCUGAUGCAGUUGAUACUGCCGAAGGGAAAAGUGAAAGUCUUCUU